UCUUGUACCUUGGAGUCCCGAUAGGGUGG
This 29-nucleotide small RNA is filed under the name Bombyx mori (domestic silkworm). RNAcentral's name for it is "ovarian small RNA-30215". The record is from RNAcentral. Lineage: Eukaryota; Metazoa; Arthropoda; Insecta; Lepidoptera; Bombycidae.